AAUGAUGUGCCUGAAAAAGGAUUAUUUUGAUAGAAUAGAACAUGCAAAUUAUGCCCUCAUUA
Molecule: transfer RNA, 62 nt
Filed under: Diaphanes nubilus
Lineage: Eukaryota; Metazoa; Arthropoda; Insecta; Coleoptera; Lampyridae
Description: tRNA-Ile
Source: RNAcentral